AUAUAUAUAUAUAUAUAUAUAUAUAUAUAUAAACAUUACAUUACGUAACAUAUUACUCCUGUGUGAUGAUCUGCAGUUAACAUAUUUUUAGGUUAGAUUUAACUUCAUGUCUUUGACUUGCCUGCGUCUCUUUAACCCGGCUAACCUCUUGCACACAAGCAAAACAACAGUGAUUUACUGUUCUUAGAAUAACACUUACAGAAUUUCCAAUAACAGACAAUCUGCGCAUAACUUCCUCUCUGCAAAAAAAGUAGCAUGUACGUGCAUGCAUAUAUGUAUUUGUUUUCAUAUCUUCUGCCUGUAUCCCCUCGAUUGGGUAUCUAGGAAUGUUAAAAGCAGGAAAGGGUCAUACUUCAGCAAUUCUCGCUCAUUUCUGCACAGAACAGCUACAUUGCCGUGCCAGGUGAAAACCAAAGCACUUCCUGCGCGGGCUCUGUAAUCAUUACUCAGAGACGUUCCAACUCUUUCUGCUAUAAAACACUCCUAUCAAGGUAAGGACGGCCUCUGACCUCCCAGCAGUUGGUCUGUCAGCUGAGUUAUUACUACACACCCCCCGCAGCGUGGUUGUUAGAGCAGGAAGUGCCCAUUCACCAUCACUGUUUGAAGGUGGAUUGGCGAUCUGGGACAUGACAGCUUUUAUUGUGACAGGAAUGUGUGAUCUGGUGGUUUUUAAGUUUAAUCUAGAGGUGAAGAGGCUUUAUCUUAUUGCAUUUUCAAUAACUCAUACGAAUUAGCAUUAGAAUAAUCCUAAAAACGUGAAAACACAGAGGUUAAGCCAACUGCAUUAACUCCUACGCACUCCUACACAUCAAUCUGCAUUUUUCAACUUAUUUUCCCAACUUCUCCUCCCCUUAUUACCUCCUCUGUUCUGUGCCUGGCACUCCAUUUUCUUUGCCUUUAUCUGCAGCUUACAUCAUCUCUUGUCAGUGGAUUAAAACACAAACCCAGAUGUUUCGACAUGCGAAUUAUGGUGACAGGGAAGUAGUUUUGAAAAAUGUACUUGCUAGAAGCUACAUAGAUGGUGUUGUGAGAUUUAAGUGUUGACUGUUGGUAAGUUGAUUGAUAACAUGCCCAACAAUUUCAUUCCUAGAAGUCUUCCCUCAGAGGAAAGGUAUUUUCUUUUAUCUGGCUUUGAUUUAGAGGAGAGUGUACACUGUAAAUUUUAGCUGGCAAAUCCCUGGUUUCACAAUAUUGUUUUGGGGGUGUGAGGUCAUUUAUUAAUUGUGCAAGGAAAGAAAGAACAAACAAGGAAGAAGGGGGAAAAAAGCCAGCUCUAAGGGGGCAUCUCCGGUUGGGCACCGGGGACGAAGUGGUGUUGGGGUGGAACCGGGACAGGCAAAGACAGCUGGGUCAAGCCAGGGUUUUGAUUUGUUUGUUUUGUCUUUUUUUGCUCUUCUUUUUCCUUCAUCCUUGCUUUCUUUGACUUCUUUGCUUUCUCUUGCUUUAGGCCGCCGCCAGACCCUCAGUAUCCUCAAGAGGAAAUAAUUUCUUGUUGCAUUUCACCUUUGUCUUUGUAUAAAGAAAAUACGUUAUAAAAAGUCUCUGUCGUGUGGGUCAAAAAGUGUAGAUUGAUUGAUUGACAGGUUUAUAUUAAAGUUAUUACACAAAGAGUAUUUACAGUUGCCAUGAAACGACUGCACAAACAGUUAAAUGCUCCCUAUAAAUUACAAAGAUAAAAUACAUUUUGAUAUGGACUAAUCUGUGUGUGCGUGUGUACAUACACAACGGUGGUGCUAAAUAAACAGAGCAGGUAAAACAGUAUUACAAAUAUGAAGCCCUAGUUGCAUUUAAAUUGUAUCGGGUGUGAGAUAAAAUGUAGGAAGUGUAACCGGGAGCUUAUUUUUCCUGUAUUCAGAUGAUUGGCAGGUUGUGUAAACAGCCAGUGCCCAUCCUGGCCUCCAGAAGCAAUUACUCACCUCAGCUCACCAGGUUGAAGCCUCAGAAUAAGAAGAAACUGUGUGAAACGUGUUAUGGGCCUCAAGGUCAAAUUUUGGGGCUAUCUGAGUGUGGUUUUGCCCUCUUGCUGACAAUCAGUGGUGGAACGUAACUAAGUACAUUUGCACUUGUACUUUUUAGUCCACUACACUUAUCUGACAGCCAUUACAACAGCUCCACCUAGACCAACUAGAACAGUAAAAUGCUGGUUAUGUGUUAUAUGCAUCUGGAAUAAUAAUGUUCAAACAUUUAUAAUUGAAUAGUCGCAAUAAAUGACUACUUUUACUUA
Molecule: long non-coding RNA, 2224 nt
Organism: Siniperca chuatsi (mandarin fish)
Lineage: Eukaryota; Metazoa; Chordata; Actinopteri; Centrarchiformes; Sinipercidae
Exons: 2
Source: RefSeq, a predicted model, not a curated record